UGGCGGACGGGUGAGUAACACGUGGGCAACCUGCCCCUCGCAGGGGGAUAACCGGAGGAAACUCCGGCUAAUACCCCGUAAGCUUUCAGGGUCGCAUGGCCCUGAAAGGAAAGGUAGCUUCGGCCAUCCGGCGAGGGAUGGGCCCGCGGUGCAUUAGCUAGUUGGUGGGGUAACGGCUCACCAAGGCGACGAUGCAUAGCUGGUCUGAGAGGAUGAUCAGCCACACUGGGACUGAGACACGGCCCAGACUCCUACGGGAGGCAGCAGCCAGGAAUCUUGGGCAAUGGGCGCAAGCCUGACCCAGCAACACCGUGUGGGCGAUGAAGGCCUUAGGGUCGUAAAGCCCUGUUGAUAGGGACGAAGGGCGAAGGGUUAAUAGCCCCUAGCUUGACGGUACCUUUCGAGGAAGCCCCGGCUAACUACGUGCCAGCAGCCGCGGUAAU
RNAcentral lists this ribosomal RNA (443 nucleotides) under uncultured bacterium. RNAcentral's name for it is "bacterial SSU rRNA". It matches the Rfam family "Bacterial small subunit ribosomal RNA", at positions 96 to 524 of the family's 1533-position model. The record is from RNAcentral.